Mycena galericulata is the source of this 92-nucleotide non-coding RNA. The record is from the annotation of a GenBank genome assembly. NCBI's taxonomy places the organism in Eukaryota, Fungi, Basidiomycota, Agaricomycetes, Agaricales, Mycenaceae.
GACCCCUUAGCUCAGUGGUAGAGCGUCGCAUUCCAGUUGAUAGUUCCGUAAUCCUUUCGCGAAGGCCGUCCGUUCGAUCCGGGCAGGGGUCA